This 1007-nucleotide long non-coding RNA is filed under the name Mus pahari (shrew mouse). RNAcentral's name for it is "lncRNA (MGP_PahariEiJ_G0003925.1)". Lineage: Eukaryota; Metazoa; Chordata; Mammalia; Rodentia; Muridae. The record is from RNAcentral.
AAGCUCUCUGUGUCACAUUAUAAUUCUCUGUAUUUAUGGGCACAGUGUGACCACAAGACACAUGGGCACACUGUAAAGGCAUGAAAGUGAGCACCUAGCAUGCUCAUCUUUCAGCACGACCUAGCAUGCCCAUCUCUUUGCACACGGAUCAUUUCUUUGUGUCUCUCUGACAUUUUAAAAUAUAAAUUUAUUGAAUACUCUGCAUUUGAUAUUUGAGCACUCACACACUAGUGAGAGACAAAACAGAAGUUCAGUGUCUCUGUUAUGCUGUAAAGUCUACUGUUUUAAAUCAGAGCUUACUGAGUAUUAGGUAAGGAAAGCUCAUUUUAAAAUGUUCCAUUCCCACUGCUCCCAAGAGGGCACCAACCACGGACAAGGCAGAGAUCCCAAGAAGGCUGGAGACUGUCGCUGCUUAAGCUAUUUAAUGAGGAAACCAAGACUUGAUUUUACACCUCACACUGGCUUAGAAAUGAUCCUGUCUUUAAAAACUGACUGCAUUUACAUUCACUUGUUUUGGUUUCUUUUUGUUUGUUUGUUUUGUUUUUUGUUUUUUUAAGACAGGGUUUCUCUGUGUGUCACUGGAACUCACUCUGUAGAACAAAAUGGCCUCGAACUCACAGAGAUCCACCUGCCUCUGCUUCUUAAGUGCUGGGAUUAAAGCCACCCAUACUUGCUGCGGAUUAUGACAACAGAGAAGUAUAAAAGGGAGACAGCUGCAGCCAGGAUGCUAAUGACAACGAUUUGUCGUAAAUUGGUGUUCAGAAUUCGAGGACAGCCCACUGGAGAGAUGCUAAAAUGCCAAGAGGCAGGAAAGAGGCAGGAAAUGCCAAUCCUGAAAUUCCAAAGAAAGAGAUUUUAAAGUGACACGCUUGGCUGAGACCUGCGCUCACCUGACCAGUGUUCUGCAUGCGCUCCCCUGCUUCCUGGCUGCUGGUGGCUCUACUGAGCAUGCUCCACAGUGCUGUUUGGUUAUGCAGCACAUCACUAUAAAAUGACUUGAUGAGAAU